This 454-nucleotide ribosomal RNA is filed under the name uncultured bacterium. RNAcentral's name for it is "bacterial SSU rRNA". It matches the Rfam family "Bacterial small subunit ribosomal RNA", at positions 29 to 526 of the family's 1533-position model. The record is from RNAcentral.
AGCGAACGCUGGCGGCAGGCUUAACACAUGCAAGUCGAACGGGCACCUUCGGGUGUCAGUGGCAGACGGGUGAGUAACACGUGGGAACGUGCCCUUCGGUUCGGAAUAACUCAGGGAAACUUGAGCUAAUACCGGAUACGCCCUUACGGGGAAAGGUUUACUGCCGAAGGAUCGGCCCGCGUCUGAUUAGCUAGUUGGUGGGGUAAUGGCCUACCAAGGCGACGAUCAGUAGCUGGUCUGAGAGGAUGAUCAGCCACACUGGGACUGAGACACGGCCCAGACUCCUACGGGAGGCAGCAGUGGGGAAUAUUGGACAAUGGGCGAAAGCCUGAUCCAGCCAUGCCGCGUGAGUGAUGAAGGCCUUAGGGUUGUAAAGCUCUUUCGACGGGGACGAUAAUGACGGUACCCGUAGAAGAAGCCCCGGCUAACUUCGUGCCAGCCGCCGCAGUAAAAC